GAUGAAGAACGUAGCGAAACGCGAUAAGUAAUGUGAAUUGCAGAAUUUAGUGAAUCAUCGAAUCUUUGAACGCACAUUGCGCCCGCCAGUAUUCUGGCGGGCAUGCCUGUUCGAGCGUCAUUACAACCCUCAGGCCCCCGGGCCUGGCGUUGGGGAUCGGCGGAGCCCCCCGUGGGCACACGCCGUCCCCCAAAUACAGUGGCGGUCCCGCCGCAGCUUCCAUCGCGUAGUAGCUAACACCUCGCGACUGGAGAGCGGCGCGGCCACGCCGUAAAACACCCAACUCUUCUGAAGUUGACCUCGAAUCAGGUAGGAAUACCCGCUGAACUUAAGCAUAUCAAUAAGCGGAGGA
Molecule: unclassified non-coding RNA, 352 nt
Filed under: soil metagenome
Description: partial contains 5.8S ribosomal RNA, internal transcribed spacer 2, and large subunit ribosomal RNA
Rfam family: 5.8S ribosomal RNA (bases 1-120)
Source: RNAcentral